AACGCAGACGAUAAUUUCGCGAUAGCAGCCUAGUUGCUGCUCGUCCCUCUUAGUCCUCCUGCCGACUAAGACUGGACGUCAUUAUGCAGGGAACUACUUUAGGGGUGUCUCGACUUAAAGUAGAUUAAUUGGGACUGGCUAAGCAUAGAGCCUGCCACUUGGCGCUAUGUGAGGUGAGAUAUUAGUGAAGUUGGCUAAGCAUGUAGAUGCAGCAAGGAAAAGAUUUGCGGACAGGGGUUCGACUCCCCUCGUCUCCACCA
This 260-nucleotide transfer-messenger RNA is filed under the name Clostridioides difficile. RNAcentral's name for it is "partial transfer-messenger RNA". It matches the Rfam family "transfer-messenger RNA", at positions 90 to 374 of the family's 374-position model. From Rfam's summary of the family: Bacterial tmRNA, also known as 10Sa RNA or SsrA, is named for its dual tRNA and mRNA-like properties. Its role is to liberate the mRNA from a stalled ribosome. Lineage: Bacteria; Bacillati; Bacillota; Clostridia; Peptostreptococcales; Peptostreptococcaceae. The record is from RNAcentral.